This 284-nucleotide ribosomal RNA is filed under the name uncultured bacterium. RNAcentral's name for it is "partial 16S ribosomal RNA". It matches the Rfam family "Bacterial small subunit ribosomal RNA", at positions 333 to 634 of the family's 1533-position model. The record is from RNAcentral.
UUAGUCCUACGGGGCGCAGCAGUGGGGGAUAUUGCACAAUGGGGGAAACCCUGAUGCAGCGACGCCGCGUGUGGGAAGACGGUCCUCUGGAUUGUAAACCACUGUCCCCAGGGACGAAGAUGUCGGUACCUGGGGAGGAAGCUCCGGCUAACUACGUGCCAGCAGCCGCGGUAAUACGUAGGGAGCGAGCGUUGUCCGGAAUUACUGGGUGUAAAGGGAGCGUAGGCGGGACUGCAAGCUGGGUGUCAAAUCUACCGGCUCAACCGGUAGCCGCACUCAAAACU